AGGUCGUGACGUGUACAAUGUUGUGAUUUACGCCCUAAGUCCAAUAUUGCACUCGUCCCGGCCUAG
This 66-nucleotide microRNA precursor is filed under the name Patiria miniata (bat star). Its description in RNAcentral is "Pmi-Mir-92-o24_pre stem-loop". The record is from RNAcentral. Lineage: Eukaryota; Metazoa; Echinodermata; Asteroidea; Valvatida; Asterinidae.